This is a long non-coding RNA of Sus scrofa (pig), 887 nucleotides long. RefSeq lists it as uncharacterized. The record is from RefSeq and is a predicted model, not a curated record. Lineage: Eukaryota; Metazoa; Chordata; Mammalia; Artiodactyla; Suidae.
GCCACUGAAACAAGCAGCUCAUCCUUUUUCCCCAAGUAACUUUUUAUAGAAAUCUGUUACAUCUGAGGCCAAAACCAGGGGUCUUGGUCACUAGGGUGUCAGCUAAUUCUGAGAAGAUAACUGGCUUGGAAGAUCCCUAAUCCUACCUCCCCUCCUCAAUGCAUUUAUGCUUUGGAUUUCCUUAAGAUCCUCUCAUCCUUUGGGGCUAAAUUCUUUUUCUGGCUUUUCCUUAGGGCCUGAAGCUUGGGAACACAGGGCUUCCGCUGACCUAGGCCACUCCAGAGCUGGGAACUCCUUGGCCUCAACUGUCUCCAUGGACUGUUUAAUCCUGGAAAAAAAUCCUAAAUUCAUCUCCAUCAUCAUACUCCUAACAUGAAAACUCAGAGAAGAUUCCGUCCUUCUUUGUCUGGAAAUCCACAGUCUUUGCGAUGUAGCUCCAGGAGCUUCUGGACAGAACCCAGAGGUUGAAAGGAAAAGCUCCUCCUGCUGGAAAUCACACUAAAAGAAGGUCAGACUUCAGAGGAAGGCUAUGGUCAGACUUCAGUGAGAAGGACCUUACCAGGUACUGUUAACAACUAACACAACAGUAAAUCCAGGCCUCCCAAGUCAACAGACAUACACGACAUAAAAUCCCUGGAAGGCUGUCCUGAGACCUCAAACAGAGCAAGCAAAGGAAUUAUGCCAAAGCAGAUGACUGAAGAAAGUGUCACCUUCCUCCAAGACCUACCAGACAAGACAGAGCUGCAAAUUUCUAUGCUUUAGUCUGCAUGUGCUUUUGCCCUGUCUCUUUGUUCUUUCCUCUCAGUCAAGUUCAGAUUUAAAUUGUUGAUACGUCUUAUCUAUGAACUAUGAUAACUUCCUUAAUACUAUAUAUAUAUAUACACGUA